CGCUCAAGGUCAUCGAAAAAAGCAGCACUUUGUGCACGACGAGGUGAUUCAUCCCAAAGGAAUAUUCCUAUGACCCUCCCCUUUAGCAUCUCUAAAUUACUUCACUCAUCCAAACACCACUUGGAGCCCAAUCCCACGACCCAGCGGGCUUCUUUAGACUCACAACUUACUUCCUUUAUACCUUGACCUCCCGAGAGGCCGUGGGUCAAAUCAGAACAUACGCAUACAGAUUUAUUAACAAACCUAGGGGAAGGAGAGGAGGCGGCAGCAGACAACAAGUAAAAGGAAGGUUUUGCUCCAGCUGAAGGUGCUGCCGGGAGCAGCGGUUGCUCCCCAGGCACUGCACGCAAAGCCAACAGGAGACGGGCAGCUUGCAGAGGAGCGCAGGUAAGAGAUGAGACCCGGUGGACCAGGAGCGGAGAGCGGCAUCAGGCAAACUUUGAGCUGCACCGCAGGGUGGGCAGAUCGACGGCAGCCCUGCGCCCUCCCUCCUGCCGGCGCUACAGAGAUGGGGCAGCGCAGCAGGAAGGGCAGGGCAGCCCUUCGGGGAGCAGAGCAGCGGGCGAGCAGAAACUUUCCGCCUCGGGGAGGGAGAGGUGAAGGCAGAAGCGGAGGGGCAACGCCGUAAUGCUCCUAGGGAUGCCAUCCUCACGGGGACCUGGAGCUCCACACAAACCAGGCAGGCUGCAGAUGCCCUUGACAUGGAAGUGGAGAGGAAAUUGGGGCAGAGGAGGCUUCGUUGUUUUUUUUUUUUUUCCAGAGCUGGUGACAGAGAUAACCGAAAUGGAAGGGAGCUGAGGGGAGCUGCUGCUUCUGCAUGGCAGUCUAAGGAGCUCACUGCAGCCACAGAGGGAACUGGAAGCACUGUGGGGAAUGUAAACAAGGCACUGUGCUCCCAGAGCCGUAUAAACACCUCAGAGAGCAACCUCAUGGCACAGGGCUGCUGGAUCUUCAGCCUGAAGAGAGCAAGGGGCUAAGCAGCUUAAGCCUCAUUAUGCUCUCUUGUGCAAGUUCCACGACUCGCAGAGAGCAUCUCAGCCAGGCCAUAAAACUGCAGGUAAGUGGGCUGCUCCCAUAGCACACGAGCUGAAAAAAAAAUCCACCAAGGCUGGUGGAUAUUUGGAUAUGUGGACGUUUGCCAACAGCACAGCACUGCAGCGUUGGCCGAUUUACUCUGGAAAACAGAUUGAAUCUCCAGGUCUCUGCAUCCCGAUGGGGGAGAAGCAGGAACAUCUUUCCUCUUUGUCAUGAAUUUGCACCAAUUUCAAUCAUUCCCAGGGCGUGCAGUGAGUUGAAAGGCCUCUGUCUGCACAGUGCAGCCAAGCAGCAAAGUAGCAAGCAGUCAGUUUGAUGCAUCACAUAACAGCCGUGUGCCGGACAGUUGGUGCCAACCCACCACGAGUGCUGCUCAGCCCAGGCGUGAGGAGGUGGAAGAAUCCAACCCUGUUAUUUCAAGGCGACACUGUACCAGUUUUUGCUUCUCUUCCCUGUUUGUGGAAGAGAACCAGGGCCAGUGUUUGCUCCUGAACAAGCGUGCGGUUGUGCGCGAGCUCCUGCUGCAGUCCUGCUCCAGCUGAAAGGCAGAUGAACGGCUGCCAUCUCGGCCAGGCCUCUCACCCAGAUAUAAAGAAGCUCUCUCGAAACGAGGAACAUUCUGGAUUUUGCACUUAAUUGGUAAAACAGAUUAAUUUGACUGCCGAGACCUGGAAGAAAGGAAUUGACACACCUAGCUGGUGAUUCCCGUUAACGGAGGGCUCACGCUGAUUAUUUCCACCAGCAACACUUCCUGCCCAGCUCUGCCAGAGGACAAACGUCGGCGUUUCCUGCAGCCUUCCCCGAGCACUUUGGGAACUGAUGCCAUCAACGGGAACAUCGCUGAUGUAAAGCAGCAGGAGUAA
Long non-coding RNA from Centrocercus urophasianus (Greater sage-grouse), 1898 nucleotides. RefSeq lists it as uncharacterized. NCBI's taxonomy places the organism in Eukaryota, Metazoa, Chordata, Aves, Galliformes, Phasianidae. The transcript is spliced from 3 exons. The record is from RefSeq and is a predicted model, not a curated record.